RNAcentral lists this small RNA (92 nucleotides) under Mytilus galloprovincialis (Mediterranean mussel). The record is from RNAcentral. Lineage: Eukaryota; Metazoa; Mollusca; Bivalvia; Mytilida; Mytilidae.
GGUCCCAUGGGAUAAUUGUAGUCCCAUGGGAUAUUUGUUGUCCCAUGGGACAAAAAAAAAAUCCCAUGGGAUUAUUAUUAUCCCAUGGGAUU